GGACCGGUCAUAAAGUAUUUACUAGGGGGUGUGGAGGAUAUUUUUUGGGGGUACGAAAAAACCCCUGAACCUCUGAGGGUGGUACGAAGAAAACAACAGAACCUCCAGGGGGGUACCAAAAUCUUAAUAGUAUAUAGGUACGGAAAAACAUUACAUUUUGCAAUUAUUGUUGAAUAUUGAAUGUAUUUGUGCCCAGAUUUAAGUUUGGAAAGAAUUGUUUUACUAUAUUAUUAUUAAAUCAACACAAAGUAUAUUUGUUUCAGUCUGACUCAAUGUCAGAUGAUAAUUAGUAGGAUUCAGUAUCCGUGGAACUUUUGGAAUACAAAUCCGAUACAUCUGAAUUGUCAAUGACAAUGCUAGCAAGCUCACACCAUUAGAACCUGUUAAUGAUUGAAGGGGGAGGGGGAGAGUUAAGGAAAUUGUCACUUACAUUGAAGGGGGUUACGAAAAUUUUUC
Molecule: non-coding RNA, 456 nt
Organism: Paramuricea clavata
Lineage: Eukaryota; Metazoa; Cnidaria; Anthozoa; Malacalcyonacea; Plexauridae
Source: the annotation of a GenBank genome assembly